AAAUGCCAUGUUGCUCGAAUCAAGAGUGAUUAAAGCUUUCUUCAUUUAUGCGAUAUCAAUCUUUGUCAUCUUUAUGUUGACUAGCACGAAGCAAACCUACAAUGUUCGACCCUUACUUUAUAUCGGUAAGUACCAGCAAGGAGUUUGUCUCCUAAAUCCAGAAAAUUAAAGGCUGAUAUUGUAAUCAUUCAUGAUUUGUUAUGCAUGUACAUAUAAUAUCAACCAUUGAUUUGUUCGUCAACUAUUUAAAUUUCUCAUCUGCUCUCCAACUCACUUUAGAGUAGCCAAAUUUGCAAACUAUGUCUUUAGUUUCUUAAACCUUGAAAUAAUUAUUGGUUAAACAUAACAUGUUAUGGAUUUUAUAUUUACAGAGCUUUGUGUUGCUCUAUUUUUGGAAGUAUUCAUUAUUCGUUUAACGAAUGAUGACAUAGAGCAACAAACAUGGAUAAUAAACAAGGUCCGAUUAUUUUUUACGGUAGCUGCUUCGGCUCAACUUACGUAUGCUAUUGUCACAUACAGGUAAGUAUACAACUAAUAAACAUUUCAUUCAUAUCUAAGUUUUAAAUCUAUCCAAAACUCAUUUCAAUAUUGGUUGUAAAAACAAUAAAUAAUAAAAGAGAAUUGGUUGCUAAUCAUGCAGGGAUUAUGAAAGGUUGAACCAUCAAAUGCUCCUAACACUAAUUAAUAAGAUAAACAACAUGGAAAAAUUGAAGGAUUCAAAUUGGGAUUUCGAUACUACUGAUUAUGUGGAUUGGUCUCAGUUGAUAGGUACUGAUUUACCUGAUGAUGUCAAUUGCCUUGAUGAUCCGGACUUUGUGAUUCCAGAAGAAGUUGCAGAGAAUUCAAUCACAAACUCCACAACAAAAAAUUAUAACUUACGCUCACGCAAUCGUUUACAUUGAUUUUUCUUACCACCACAAGCACACUACUAUUUUGAACUGGUAAUUAGAAACUUGAAAUAAUCUAUGUACAGCAAGUUAUUUCCUUAAUGUAUUUUCAUGACUAUGGAUUAUAUAUACUAAUGAAUAUGUAUGCAUGUGAUCAUAUGUGAAGGUUGACAUUCUGGACACUCACACUUCAGUUAAAGUUGUCAGUUUAGAAUAACUUAAAUAAUGAUACUCACUCUAUGAGCAACAUCUUAGAAAACUGAGCUUAUAACCAGUUUGUAGAGAUAAAAUUUGAUGACAAUGCAUACACCAUGAUUGCUCCUCACAACUUCUAACCAAAUUGAAAUGAACAUAAUUCCUUAUUUUAGUUUGAUUGUUCUCAAUUUUUGAAUUUAUAAUUUGCACCCACAAAAUAAAAAAUUGAAGAAAAAAAAGCUGAAAAUGCGAGAGAUGAAACCAAGGGAAAAACAUGGGGAUUUUAGAAACUUGAAGUUGUCAGAAGAACAAAUGCAAAAUAUCACAACCAUUUGAGUCUUAUGAGGCUUUGAUGACGACAAUGACAGUGUCGAAGGCAGUGUCAUCCACCGUAAAUGGAAAGUUAUUGGGCGAACCAAAAACGCCCACAAAUAUGGUAGCAUUCAGUCCAGUCCAAACCAUCUGGAUCAUCCAGUCCGAAUCAAAUGAUAUCUUCCACAAUUUGCUUACAGCUAACAAUUGUCUAGGUAAAGAUUCAAGGACAAAAACUCUAAAUCUACACCAUAAAUACUAACUCAGGGGCAUUGGUUCAAAUACGCACACAUUUCAUCCUAAAUUACCUAAUAGAUCCGCGAUGCUUACAAAUACAAAUUUAAGUAUUGAGUGUGUUCGCAAAUACUAUUCCUUGCCGUCAAAGAAGAAGAUUGCCGACGAAGGUCCUACACCUAGAGGCCAUUCAACACCACCAUCAAAAUAUCUCAGAUGACAGGAGAUGUCAACGGGGCAGGGUCGGCAAAAAGUACACUCCAGCUCCUUGUUCCCAUCCCACAUUAGUGAGUCUAUCUCCUCCAUCUUUAUAUAUCUAGAUUCAAUUUUUGUGGAUGAAAAUCUCAUAUGAUUAAACAAGAGGACUAGAUGUAGGUAACAAGAUAGGAUAUGCGACUGAAUCAGAAUAAAUCUCGGUGUCAUCUUAGUUACCCUUCUCUCUUUAAAUUUCAACAAUUUAGUUUCAAUUACUCUUGUUCUAUGGUUUUUCAUUGAAUUGUUUCCGGUAUAGUUAAAAUCUGAGAAUUGAUAGAAAUGUUUCUUUCUUUUAUUAGAAUAUGAGUUAGCUACUUUGUGAUGACUCAGCAGAGUUCGUUACACUUUUUUUUUUUUUUUACAAAAGAGUUAAAAAAUGAAGGACAGAACAGAACAACUCCAGUUGUCCAGUGUUUGAUUUGUAAAACUGUUCCAGAUACAAGACAAACGGGAGGCAAAUGACAUGACAAAAACUCAUAUUUUUGUCCCUCACCAAACCACAACAAAACUUUUUGUUCUACGUACAAGUUGUCUAAAAUACCAAAAAUCGUAUAAAACAAAAAAUUACUCAUUGUCAUAAAAAAAUUUAUCCUGUGCUGUUCUGCCUUGUGUUGUGCUGUUUUGUCUUGUACUGUUCUGUCCAGUACUUAUUGCUUGCAAACCAAACACCCCCUUAGUUAGACAUGUAAGGCAUUGUUUGGCUUAGAGCGGAUAACACCAUGCACUAGACUACGUACUCUAAUAUGUACUUCAUUUAGUCAAAUCUACGAACAAAUAUUCUUUUUUUGAGUUCAUUAAAUAUCUGGUAUAUUUGGACUGUAAUAUAGUACAAAUACAUAAUUAUUAAAUGAAUCUAAAAAAGUUAUAGUUGCUUAUAAGUGUUAUUAGAGGGGGUUUGUAUUCUUUCAUUUCAAUGAAAAAUACUUUGUAAAACUUUUAAAAUUGAACAAUUCUAUUACCUUAUAAAUGCAUAUAAAUUUUUAAAUUUAGCAUUGUAAUCUUAAAGUAUCGAUUUAAGUUACCUUGAAGAUAGUUGUAAAAAUAAUUAUUAGUGUCACUUUUUUUUUUUUUUUGACAAGAUAGUGUCACUUUUAUUAAUAAUUUUUUUCAUUCACCAAUUUAAAAAAUAAAAAUCUACUUAUAUAUGAAGAGACGUGAAUAUGAGUGCGAAUAUGUUAGGCUGACCUAGGUUUUCUAAUAGUUUGUUCUAUGAAAAAUUUUAAGGCUUAAAUCUCACUUGGAGCCUAUCAUAGGCUUAUUAUUGCCUGGAAAGCAACUCUUCUUACUUUCAUUUUUGCUCUUCACACACCGCAAAGAUACCAAAUCGCUCCACAACAUCAUUUUCCGAGCAACAGUUAACUAUUGUGGGGGGUAUUUUGGUAUUUUUAUGGUGUGUGGGAACACAAAUUAAAGUGAUAAGAGCAAUUUCCUUUUCCCUGAAUUUGACCUUUUGAAAGUCUAAUAUGAAUUACUAACCCGUUUAAAAGCUUAUGUCAUUUGAACAUAUUUGAAACUGAUGGGAGAUUAAUGUUUCUUAAAAAAAAAAGAUGGGAGAUUAAUGUGAAUGUACUAAAAAAAAUAUAGGAAGUUUUUGGUUUUUAUAUAACUAGGGAAAAAACAAUAAAUGAAUUUUGUUUAGGGGAAAAACAAUAAAUAUAUUUUGUUAGUGACGCCCCAAAAUGAAAAAACUUUGUGCUAGUAUAACUCGUAACAAGAGAAUGGCUAAAAAGGAAAAUUCUAUUUAACCAAAAGAAAAAAUUGCAUGCCACUUACUUAUUUCUGAUGACCGCUAGGAGAUUUCCAACGAAGCAAAAUCUUCCAAAAUCUAACUUAAGUCACAUAUCACCAACCUAAAGUGACCUGUUGCAGAAAGUAGGGGUAUAUGAUAUAUGCUAUGUGCAUAGGUAAUGAUGGUAAUCAUUUAUAAUUGAUGCAUAAAAGACUGUGUGCAUGCGUCUCCACCGUCAUCGACCUCAAAACCUUCGUCCUGACCUCCCUCUCCUCCAAAGACAACAACUUUCUCAUCCUCUUUCGCCACCACCACCAUUCUCAGCCACCGUCUAACCUUCUCACCACCACUGUCGCUUCAGAUCUAACACCAUCAUCGCACCACCGUGAACUCAGAAUCCAGAAACAAGAGGAAGAAGAACAGAAAAAUGGAUUUGCUCGUUUUACUGGUCGUGAGAGAAAGAGAGAGAGAGAGGAAAAGAGAGAAUGUGGGGAAACUGGAACGACUUGUUUGAUUUUUCUUUUAAUUUAAUUUUCUUUUCUUUUACUUAUAAAUAAAUUAAAAUUAAAUUAAUUUCUAAGAAAGCAAAUGAUGCCAGGUGAAGGUGGUACAAGGGGUUGAUGGAAAGAAAGGGUGUUCAUCAAACAUAAUCAAAUAAAUAAUAUUUGUUAUAUUUACUUAGGUAGGCUGACUUGAUAGAUUUAAAAGACUUUUUUUAUGGAAUCAAGCUUGGCAUUAUUAUUAUUAUUGACGGACAGCAGAGAGUCCAAGUAACAGACUAAAUCUUCCAAUCCCAAUGCUAAUCCUAAUCCCUUAUGAAUGGCUGUGAGCUCAACAAGAAGAAAAAAUGAAAAUAAUAUCCUUCUAAACAAACCUAAGCCUUCUCUAUUGAAAAAAAAUGAAAAAAAAAAAAUCAAAUCCUGAAAUGGAUUUUUCGCAGGUUAUAGAGUUGUCAAAACGGGCGGUCCCGCCCGUUUAGGGCCGGCUCUAAUGGGCUUCGGGCUUUAUCGGGCCGGGCCAAAAAGCCCAGUUGAAAAACGGGCUUGAAAUAUAAUACCCGAGCCCGGCCCUACACGGAACGCAGGCUUAACGGGCCGGCCCGUAUUAAAAAUUAUAUAUAUAUAUAUAUAUUUUUUUUUUAAAAAGUACUAUAAAAUACUCCUAUAAAUUUUUUUUUAUAAAUAAUAUUUUUAAUAUGUUUAAAUAAUGCCUAGAACAAAAAUAAAUCGUAAACAUUUUCGUACAAACGUCGUAAACUAAAACGGCGAGGAAAACAAUUUAAAAUAAAUUAGAUACGUUAUGGUUAUAGAUAUUUAUAUAUUCGAUCUUUAAAAUUAUAAAUAACGAAACGAGUAAAUAUAAUUUUAUAUUACAUGUAUAUUUAUGCUAAUUCAUUGAAUUUUCACUUUUAUUUAUUACUUUGAUAAUCAACUAAGUAAAAAAUAUAUCUAAUUUAUAGGAUUUUUUUUGUUAUGCGGGCUAGCGGGCUACCCUCGGCCCGUUCGGGCUAGCCCUAAUGGGUAGCGGGCUUUUUAAGGCCGGGUUAAAAAGCCCUAUUAAAAUUCGGACUCAAUAUUUAAGGCCCAAACCCUAUAUUUAAUCGGGGUAAACGGGCCGGCCCAUACGGCCCAGCCCGUUUUGACAGCUCUAGCAGGUUAGGUCGUAUGUCCAUAUAAGCAAGCCUAACCUAUUCCCACCUCAAAUAUAAUAUUUUUUUUGUAUUUUUUGUUUUAAUUUUACAUCAAUUUAAAUUUAUUUAUUUACAAUUUUUUUUAUCUAAUAAAAAAGUUUUUAAAUGUGAAUGGUAAAAUAAGUUGGUUUUGAUUGUGAAUGGUAAAAAGAAAAGAAGAGUGAACCGGCGAGUUUAUUUUGAACCGGUUGGGUUGAGUCAUAUGGUUAUUUAUUGGAUUUCCCUCAAAACGGUUAACGAACACGACUUUCAAAUAAUCGAAUAUAAAAACCCUUUCCCUCCAAACACCAACAAUUCAACUAACCGCGCCAUUCUCCGACCACCGUAACCGUCCCUCGCCGGACCACCGUAACUGUCUCUGCAUUCUCGCCGGAGAAGCCAACAUCAUUCUUCUCAGAGCACUGGUAUUUCCGAUUGUUUUUCUGUGUUUUCAGUAACAUAACAGUGUGCAAUUCUUGCUUGAUAUUGCAAUGAAUUGCGUUUUCGAUCUCACAUUCUUCAUAAAAUGCAGUUUCAGUGGUUGAAUGAUCUUCGCUUAUAGUCCUUGUUGUUUUGAUUCUCUUAACAUUGAAACGGAGAAAUUUUGAAUACAUUCUUGAUAAAAUGCAGUUUCGAUGGUUGAAUGAAAUUUGAAUAUCGCUUGAUGCAUAUUAUUUUUCGAUUUUUCAAUAGUUUUUGAGCAAUCUUUGGAAUGAUUUAAGUUUAAUCUUGAUUUGAGAAAAUGUGAAUAUGUGUUUUUUCUUCUUUUCAAUUGGUUGUAUACAGCGAGUUUCCCUGCGUCGAAUCACGAAAAGAAAAGCAAUCUUUGGAAUUUGGUGAUCCUCUACGAGUAAAGGUAUUAUGCGAAGAAUUAACAAAUUUCAUAUUUAAGAGUAUUCAUUCAUAGUGUUUCUGUAACAUAUGCAGUCCUUUAAAUUUAUAUUGAUUUUUACUUCUGCGAAUGUUUCGAUUGAUAAGAUUUUGGACCGUUCUAAUGGGUAACAAUUUAGUUACUUCAUGGAGUCCUUUAAAUUGUAUAUCAUUGUUGAUUUGAGAUUAAGAAAUUUCUUUCUUAUAUGAUUGAUUCCUCUUCUCAUUGAAAUUCCUCAUAUUCAUUGAAACUACUUUGAAUUAAUAUUGAAUUUCAUCUGAUAGUUUAUCCCAUGAAUUAAUUAAAGUUAGAUGUAUGUUUUCCAACUACGAUGAAUUCCAAAGAAUCUAACAACUUAGGUGCUUCACUGAGUAAUUUCAUCUGAUUUGGGACUUAAAACAUUCCAUAAUUUCCCUAUUGAUAUAAGGUGUUACAUCCCUUGCCGAGACAUUGUAUAGCAUCAUGCAGUUCCUUCUUUGAUGACUAAUCGCUUUUUGGUAUAUGUACCUUGAUUUCUGUUUCUCAAUUGUUACUGUAACCACAAUUCUGUUUGUCUUGUUUGGUUGCAUACAUUUAUAUGCUUUCUUGUGUUGACUUUGUUGAAAAGUUGCACCUUGAUGGGCCAGCUUUCUAGUUGCUAUAUCUUGUUUUUGUAGUCUCUUCAUUUAUCAAUAUUGUUUCUGAUUUGGUUUUGUUGGAUGGCUGUAAUACAGAUGAGUGAUGAUGAGACAGAAUUUCCUGACAGUACCGAUUCAUCUGGCAGUACUGAUGAGUUAAUUGAAAAGCUUGAGGAUGAACUAGAUGAUGAUGGUUCAGACAACUCAUCGUCAGAUGAAGAAGCUGAAAGCCAAGAUUCCAGGUGCUCUCCAUCACCUAUUUCAUAUUACAUGUGUUACAAUAUUAGUUAAGCAGUUGCCUUGGUGAUUUGUGAGAAGACUAAACAUUGUUUAGAUAAAGAGUACUGUGGUGCUUAUAUAAAUGAAUUUAUCUGAAAAUUUGGUUCUUAUAAAGUGCAAUGACUCUAUUCAGUAGGAACAAUGUUUAUUAUUGUAGUGGUCUCAACUUUGAUAGAGUGAUUCUUGUUUCCAAAACCUCAUGAAAGAUUGUCAUGCAAGUUUCAAUUACAUUUAAGGCAUUGCCUUUAUUACGAGAUAAAGGAACACUGAAUAUUACCUAAUUAUGUCAUUUCUUCUUAAGUCAAAUGAUAACAUGUUUUUAGCUAUGGUUUGCUUAUGUAUCUUCACUGCUGUGUGAAAACUUAUUUUUUUGGUUUGUGGAUUUGUGAAUCAUUUAAGCAUAAAGGAAUGUUUUAGAAAAUUAUAUAGCUCAAACUAUUGUGAGAUAUAUGGACUCAAAUGACCUAUUUUUAGACAUGUUCCAUAAGAUAACAUUUUUGUGUUGUUUGAUCCAUGUAUUUGACUCCAACUAUUAGGAAAACACUUUGAUUCUUGUUGUUAUUGUGGAAUUAUGAACCAAUUAGCAUCAACCUAUGGGAGAAAUAUGGUUGUAGGGUUCCUAUUAUUUUUUGGUUAUUUAUGUUGAUUUUGUCUAAGAGACUAUAAUGUAUUCUUUGAUUCAUGUUUUCUGAUCAAAUUUCACUCUGCUACACUUUAUUGUACAAAUUUAAAUAGAAUUAAAAGACUUAAGUCUGAUAGCACCAGUGAAACUAAGGCGUCUACUUCAGCAGGAACCGCGGAACAAAAAUUAGGUAAUUUUAUUGUUGUAGUUGUUUCUUUCAUUUUCUUUGCUAGGAACAAGAUUCAAUCCCACAUCAAGUACAUAUAACUUUGCCAAAAAUUUAUUCACACAGUUUCUCCUUAAGAGCAAGUAAACCAAAACAUUUUUAAGAAACAGUUUCUCUGCCUUAAUGCUUUUUUGCACUAUUUCAUUGGUACAGCCUUAAGCUUGUUAGACUUGCAUUCUUAAGCAUAUGUUCCCCCCUUCACUUCAUCAUUAAACAAUAUUGAUUUUUUUAUUUACGGAGGCUUUUGUUUCUUAUAGAGAAAUGAACUAAUGAUGCAUGCACAAUCAAAUAUUUCACACCUCAUACUACCUUUUCUUUAGUCCAUUGUAUAACAAUACCGUAAAUUUAUUUCUAAAGGCUCUUAGAUUACGCAAAAUCUCUUCCAAAUAUUUGUGAAAAUAUGAUUAUGAAUCACAUACAACUUUGUCACUCUGUCUUAAAAAUGUUGUAACUCUCACUUUCUCUCACUCUCUCUAUAUUAAUACUUAAUUGUUGGAGUAUCAUCUGUGAAUGUAGAUGGAUGUAUGCAUCCUGGAUCAUUUGGAGGCAUUUGUAUACAUUGUGGACAAAAGGUGGAUGGGGAAUCUGGUGUGUCAUUUGGGUAUAUACAUAAGGUACAAUUUUUUUCUAAUGAUUAUCUUGCGGGGUACUAAUAACAUAGAUUUGGAUAGUUGUUGUUGCCACAUGUCGCUAUUUCAAUUGAUCAAAUUGAAAUAUUUGUUUAAAAGCUGAUUCCUGAUUCAGUGAUCAUGCCCAACAAGUAUUCCUGAUAUAUAAGCAUACAGCUGAAUGGUUGGUUAAGGAUGGCAAUAGGUAGUGUCGGUCCUCGUACAUGCUAACCGCAUUGCAACAAAGAAGUUCCAUAAGUAAAUAUAAACAUUGAGCCUAUAAAAGUACACCACAAUAAGGCAUUACAAAUUAAAUUUGUUCUUGUGUUCAAAUCUUUGAAUCGAAUCCAUAACACGGAAUUAACUAAAUUUUAAGUCAUGAAUGAAGUCAUAAGACCCUGUUUGAGUAAGUUUGUUCUACAAUUUUUUUUAUGACAUAUCCUCAUAUUUCAAGUCAUAAGACCCAUAUUUUUCACCAAGACCACUCGAGCAAGGUGCUGUUAUUGAUGAGGGAGAAUAAUUUGGUAGCCAACUAGAAUUAGGAUUAAGGAUUUGAUGAGCUCAGGUCAUUGUUGUAAGUCAGAAUUGGGACAAUCUAGAAUUUAGCACUAUUGAUUCAAACAAAUUUCAUAUAAAAUCAUUUAAAUUCUUUUUUGUCUUUACCUUUGAAUUCUUGUUGUAUCCUAUCAUAUACACAACCCAACUAUUUAUUCUGCAUAUAAUUUAUCCAAGCAACAAGUUAUUAAAUAUGGAAAUUUUUGUAUGUUCAGGGACUAAAACUUGAUGAUAAGGAAAUUUCUAGAGUGCGCAGCAGAGACGUGAAGAAUUUAUUAAAUCGUAGAAAGCUUUGCUUGGUUCUAGACUUAGAUCACACACUGCUAAAUACCACUUCCCUUCAUCGUUUGAGCCCAGAAGAAAUGCAUUUAAAAACCCAUACAGAUUCUCUAGAAGGUAAUAUGCCAACCGAUGCACCUUUUCUUUUCGUAAUUGUCAUAAUUAGUAUUUAUUAGAAGUUUUGAUUUAAUGCAUUUCCUCAUCAUUUUUGUUUUUAUGACGUUAAAGUUCAUCUAUUUUUUCAUUGUAACUUACUGUCAUAGAGCAUGAGACCUCGAUCUUAUUAUUUUUUUCAUCUUUUGCUGAAAGGCUAAAAUGCUGGCAUUAUACAGCUUUCUUGGUUUGCAGUUGUGUCUGUUAAAUGCUUUUGGAAAGUUUGCAACAAGCUUUAUGCAUUCUUUGUUUUCGAUUACACUGAAAAAUUUGCAGAAUAAACAUUCGUUCGUGUUCUUUGGUUGCUAAAAGACAGAUAUCAUUGUAUUAUUCUGCAUUUGCAAGUACCAUGCUGCACAUCAUCACAUAGAACAUCAUAAGUUAUAUAUAGAGUAGAUUCAUAUCCUCAAAAUUACAUCUCCUCCUAUAUCGACAAUAAGUUUUUAAAUAGAUUGAAAUACUUACUCAAAUUCAUACAUUUUAGUAAAAUUAGGGUAUUUCAAACUCAUUUAUAUGUUUCAUCAUCAUGAGUGCAUUUUCUUACUACUCUUUCUUGAUUUCACCUGAUGUUCUGGGUUUUUAUGGCUUUCUUUCUGAACUUGUAUACAAUGAAACAAUAGAUAUCUCUAAAGGUAGCCUCUUCAUGUUGGAGCAUGUGCAAGUAAUGACCAAGUUGAGGCCCUUUGUCCGCACAUUUCUUAAAGAAGCAAGUGAAAUGUUUGAAAUGUACAUCUACACCAUGGGUGAUCGGCAGUACUCAUUAGAGAUGGCCAGGCUGCUUGAUCCUCAAGGGGAAUACUUCAAAGAUAAGGUAAUUUCUCGAGAUGAUGGGACUCAAAAGAACGUGAAAGAUCUGGAUCUUGUGUUGGGGACAGAAAAUUCUAUCAUAAUUCUUGAUGACAAAGAAGAGGUGAGUGCAUGUCAGUACUCAUUAGAAUAAUUGCUGAUAGUUAAUUUAUGUGGAUGAUAAUCUCAUAAUAUUUUUCAUUUUACCUAUAUGUAUGAACAAAUUAAACACAGUUCUAUAAUCAAAUAAAUCUACAAUCAUAUGAAUAUAACCUUGAAAAACUAAUAGCCAUUCUACCACUCUUAGUUCUUGUAAACAUCAAAUGCAAAUGAAAGAAAAACUAAAUUAUUAAUUCCUAUGCCCGCCCUAUCUCUCAUUUCGAAGUUCAAUUUUUAGGUUCAUAUCAAUUUUUAUUAACUACUACUACUACUAGCAUAUCCGAUUCUUGUCUUUCUUGCGUAGUAGUUUUUCCUGAUUUUUUUAAUGUAGUAGUUUUUCCUGAUUAUUGGUUAACUUGGUGUUUUUAUUUUAAUACUUUUUUCAAAUUAUAUGAAUCAUUCCUCUAAAGUUUAUUCUCUAUAGACAAAGUUCAUAGAUUCAAAUGUGCAAAAGAUCUAUCCAUUUAAUGAUUCAUAUGUCAUUGUUUAUCAUUUGAGAAUCAAUAAACCAAAGUCACCUCCUUUAUUGAGAUGUAUGAAAAUGUUGUAGGUAUGGCCGAAGUACAGAGAUAAUCUGAUAUUGAUGGAGAGAUACCACUUUUUCAAUUCAAGUUGUCAGGACUUCGGCCUCCAAUGCAAAUCACUUGCUGCAUUGAAUAUUGAUGAGAAUGAAAAUGAUGGUGCGCUUGCCAAAAUACUCGAAGUGCUAAGACAGAUCAACUACAAAUUCUUCGAUGUAUGUCAGAUAAGUUGUUGAUAAAAAAUUUGUUGUAUUUGAUAUGUUGCUAAAACUGUGUUGUGGGGAUUUGUAGGAACUUCAAGGAGAUCUUGUUGAUCGAGAUGUGAGGCAGGUAGUUAGUUAUCUUGUUAUUCAUCUUUCUUCUGGUUCGUGCAUUUUGCUGAUGGAAAUAUAAGUUAAUUUGUCAUCCUAGUGUCAUAUUCUGAUAAUGUUAUGUUAUGCUUGCAAUCAAUUCUUGUUUUCCAGGUUUUGUCAUCAUUUCGAGGUGAAGUCUUAAGAGGAUGUGUGAUCGUUUUCAGCCUUAAUUUUCAUGGUGACUUGCGAAUACUCAGGAGGAUAGCAGAGCGGUUAGGAGCUACUUGUUUGAAAAAACUUGACCCCACUGUGACACAUGUAAUUGGUACAGAUUUUGUAACUAAGGAGUCCCGGUGGGCCGUGCAAGAGAAGAAGUUUUUGGUUAGUCGUCGUUGGCUAGAGGCUGCAAAUUUCUUUUUGCAAAAGCAGCCUGAGGAGAACUUUCUUGUCAAAAUACACUAGUUUCUGGUAAUUAGUUAAAGAGUUCUGUUACAAGGAUUUUGUGUUUGUGAAGAUGUCUGUGGAAGGAACUGAGUUUCAUUUGAUACGUAGGUCUCACUGAUCUCAUAAUUGGAUUGCUACAUAUGAUAUUCUGAAUGUUUGGAUUUGCUUGCUUCACUCAGGAAUAUUGGAGUUUAGGAUUUUACUCAGUAUAGAGAAAGCCAUUAUUUGUGACAUUUUGUUGUUCUCAAAAGUUUAGGAUUUUAUACUUCCUAUGUUUCUGUUGUUAAAUGUUUUUAAACAUCAAGAAAAACAAUAAAUAAUUGCUUGAAUGAAACAACUUUAUUAAUUUGCCUUGCUUAUUUAGAAUAUAGUGCAACAACAAUACAUGUAAUGUUUUUUUUUUUUUUUUGGUACAAAAGAGGGCAAAGCCCAAACAAUACAUGUAAUGUUACAUUAAAGGGAAAAUUGAAAUAAUCGAGGCUUUUGUCCUAUAAUAUGUUCGAAAAUUUUAAUCGUUUCACUAAAUUAUCCCUUAUCGAUCAUGUGCUGUUGAAAUCUCAUUACCAUAAAAACAUAGUGGAUUACAAGCUUAACUAGUUAGUUACUAGACUGUGCAAUUACUUGUUAGACAGGUAAUUGUCAUAGUUAAUUAUCUAAUUACACUUCCCAAAGUUCAUCACCAACUCCAACUAGAACUAUAGCAAGUGGAUAUUUACUGUAUCGUAAAUAAAGAAUGAAAGUUACGAAGUACUUUAAAAACAGAACAAUAAGAACAGAAAAGAGUUUCAUAAUAGUCCUAAAUAAUGAAAGUUAUGUUCAUGGUUUCUAAAUGAAAUUUAGUCCUAAAUACACUUUUUUUAACCUUAAAAUCCAACAAAUUCAUAUGAAUUGACAAUCACAUGCAAAGAGUUGAAGAAAUUAAUUAAUUCAGUCAUGGAAUUGGCCUAGCGGCAUUGUUAUCGGAAUUUCGAUGGGGAGGAAGAAGAAGCGCGAUGCUUCAAAGGUCUGGUGUUAUUACGCGAUCAUGAAUUCGAUGACGAGAAGAUCUUGGUUCAGCAUCAGAAAGCCAAGCACUUUAACUGUCAUGUUUGUCAUAAGAAGCUUUCCACUGCUGGUGGCAUGUCUAUUCACGUUCUUCAGGUCCACAGAAAACGUCACCAAGUAUACUCUCAACUAUGUCUAUUGCAGCCUCUAUCACUGGUACUUCACAAAAAAUCCAAUAAUAUUCCUUAAUUCAGAUGUAUAGUUUCAAGUUUGGAACUAUAUUUUUGUAGCAAAUUAAAACUUCCUCAAAGCCAUGGCAAGGUGAGUGAUCACUAUGAAAGCUGAAUACUCCUUGAUCAUGUGUGUUAGCAGUAUGAUGAAUGGCAAAAUUUGAGCAUUAGUUGAAUUGGAAAAACUAUUAAUUACUACUCUAAGGAUUAAUAUGGCCUUCUCAUAGGGGUUCUAUCACCAAUUCCAUGCAGGCUUCUCUUGUUAAAUGAGACUUUGCCUUCAUAAGCGAACAAUUUGAAAAAGAAAAAUAAGUUAAAGCCAAAAUUGUAAUCAAUGUUUUAAAAUUCAAACGAUGGAACCAAUAAUUGACACUGUGUUUACGCUCCAGUUAUAAUUAAUUUGAACGUUUCAAUUGAGGCCUCAUCCUAAUUCGAGCAGUUUAAAACAGUUGAACCAUGACCUCGAAAAAUCUCGUCAGUUUGAUGUUGAUUUGAUUUUUAUACCAUUGAUUAUAACCAAAGCUCUGUAACAUUUAUAAAAUAAGGAUUAAGGAUUAUUGGCCGUUGGGAGUAUUUGUUGGACUUAAUAAUCUCCGGAAAACAGUCAUUUUUGAGGCAGUAUUGAUAUAUGAUGAAACGAUACCUUUUUAGUGGUUAUUUGAAACUCUUCUCCAACCAACCAAUGGAGAAAAGCCUAAAACCAUUAUAUCAGAUCAAGAUGCCAAAAUGUCAAAGGCUAUUUCUUUAAUUAGUGAUUCCAGAAACAUUUCAUGGAUUGUGCACUUUACAUAUAAGACAGAACGAUCUAAGGCAUGUGAACCAUCUAUAUCAAGAGAGUUCACAUUUUUGUUUAGAUUUUGAAAGAGGCAUAGAUCUACAUGAAAAGGGAGAUGAAUUUUUGAAUGCAUGGAACUCUUUACUUGUUGAGCAUAAUGUUAUGGAAGGUUUGUGGUUGCAUAUGAUUUUUCAAUUGAAGGAAAAAAUGGGCAUGGCAUGUGUUCGGAAAACAUUCACCGAAGGUAUGAGAUCUGAAUCAAGACAUAAGCUUCCUAGAUUGAAAAUGAAGAAGGCUCGUAUGCUCGUCCAAUCCGGAAAUGUUUACACUCCCAAAACAUUAGAGGAAUUCUUAUGAUUGUCAUAAAUUUGAGACACAUGGCCAUCUUAUGUAGUCAUGCUUUGAAACUUUUGGAUGUCAUGAAUAUUAAGUUAAUUCAUGAACACUAUAUACUAAAGCGAUGAACAAGAGAUGCAAGGUUGGGAAGUAAAUAAAGAUUGGAAAGUGAUGCAUGUUGAAUCAGACACGAAAGCCCAUUUCAUGAAGCGAUACAGUGAGUUGUGUCCUUGAAUGGUUAAAUAGACCAACGAAGCUUCAAAAACUCAAAACUUACAGAUAGUUACCCAAGGUCUAUGAAGAGUCCAGAAAAAUAUUUGAAGAUAUAUUGGCCAAAAAAUACGUGGAUGGAGAAUCCAGUGGGAUGGUUCAUGUAACCAUAUCAAUUGCAAUUGAUGCAAUUGACAACAACGCGGACACCGUUGUCGGGGCAAAAGGCAUAAAGAAGAGAUAAUGUUCACGUUCUACUAAAAAAACAAGCCAAAUCUUGGGUUGAGAAAGCACCUAGGAAGAGAAACAAAAACUUACACUCCCAAAAAAAGAGAAAAUUAAUCACAAGAAAAUGUAGUACAAUAGUUAUCGGUAAGUGUUUUUCUUUAUUUUCUUAUCAUUGUUUUAAAUUUUGUUUAACCAUAUCAUUCAUUUCACUUUUCUUAUAUUAUGCAGCAACCACUUGACUAAAAUUCAAUUUCUCUCAAUUGAACUCAAUGUCAAGCUACAAUCCAAGGGACACAAUGAAGCAAAAUUGACACAUUGGCAUUUCAUAACCUUUCUAAGAAAAACAAAAAAUGAUUGCUUUGAAUGAAACAAUAAUAUUAUAUAACAAUACAUAAAAUAUUACUUUUAAAGUAAAAUUGAAUUAAUAGUGCCUUGAACAUAUAAAAUGAUAAUGAAUCUAAUUUUUUUAAAGAUACAAUCAAAUUAAGGAAAAAAAUUUAUGUGCAAGAUAUGCAUUGUACAAUUAUCAGCCACUGUACACUCUAAGACGACUAGUGAUCCUGUGUCGACAUAUUGGACAAUGUCUUAACCUUGAUCCACAAUCUCUGCAAGUCUGCAUUCCAAAAUAUUGUAUAACAUAUAGUUUAAUCUUAACAAUUAUCAGCUUAAUUGUUUCAUUAAUUACUCUAAAAUAAAAUGAAUCAAAAUAAGCUCACCAUGUGCCCACAUCCAAAUGCCAAAUCCUUUGCAUUCGUCAGACAAACAGGGCAGCAGGCCUACAUAAUUCCAUUGAUCACAUAAACCAUCAAGCAACUUCAAUGUUGACAGAAAUAAUUAGUGAAGAUGUUAUAGUAACAUUUGAUUUGAUAUAUACUUACAGAUUGAUUUUGGUCAUCUGUUGUUGAAUUGCUAUGUGCAGGCCGAGAGUAAGGUACAGGAGAUGGUUUUGGAACUAUUCUCUUCGCUCUUCCUGUUACAAGUCUGUUAUCAAUUCAUAGACACAAAUAUGACAACAAAAGUUAAUUUCCAUAAUAUCACUUGAAAGAAAAAGUUGCAUUGUUAUGCCGCACAUAUCAAUGAUAUCAUUAAUAGAAGAUUUUUUAUAGAAUUGUUUAAGGUUUAAGAUCGUACCCCAGUUUUAGAAAUUCAACACAUGCUUUAUAUUGGAAGGGAAUCUCCAUGAGAGAGUUAACAGCAAAAGCUGCUUCUUUUUCUGCUGCGCUUGUGUUUUUAGACAUUAUUUUUGUGAAGUUAACGAACUGCACAAAACCGAAAUAAUGUGAUCAAGCGAUGAAAAAUAAUGAUCAGUUAUCUUCACUUAAAUAUAGAUCAUUAGAUUAAUUCAACAGCUAGAGAGUUCGGCAUAGAUUAUAGUAAUACCGGAUACGAAUUCAAAUAGGUUAUUACUUGAUACACACAUUUUUAUGGUUCUAUUGUAAUACCUGAAAAUUGUCAAAAUCGCGUGACGGAAUUUUGUCAUCAAACUUUUCCAUGUCUUCCCAAGGUCCAUCACCAACUCCAACCAGAACUAUAGCAAGUGGAUAUUUACUGUAUCAUAAAUAAGGAAUGAACAUUAAUAUAUAUUAAGCACAUGAAACUGUUUUGAAAUUAUUGUAAAAUCAGAACAAUAGAAAAAAAAAAAUGCGUCUUAUUAGGCCCUAAAUAAAUAAUGAAGGAAAAUGAUAUAUGUAGCGAAAAUUUCACGUGAAAUCAUCCCCAGCCCAUGUAUUUCCAACUUUCAAGUGUUUUAAUUGGCUAACCAUUGACCCCAUCCACGCGAAAACGUUAAGUGGUUAAAACUUAUUUCGCUAUGCAAUCAUGAUACAAUUGCUCGCGAUGCAUAGCACUCCUCAAUAAAAAAACGUAUGUGCAUAAAAAAAUGUAUACCUUGCAUCAGCAAUUGCUUUGAUUGUCUUCUUUUCUUGAGGACUGACUUCAUUAUCUACACAUUUUGUAACCUUAAAAUCCAACAAAUUAAUAUAAGUCAGAAUCAUAUGCAAACAGUUGAAGAAAUUAACUAAGGUAACAUUUUAAAUAUACCUGACCGUCUGCAAUGAUAACCAAAACAUGAAAUUGGCCAUGACUUUUCUCGACUAUGUCUAUGGCAGCCUCAAUCACUGGAGCAUAAGAAGUUGGUCCUUCACACAAAAUCCAAUUAUAUUCCUUCAGUCGUGUAUCUUAAACCAGAUAUUAGUCUUGAUUUAUCUCAAAGAUAUAUCAAAUAAUUCUAGAUGUGCAUCAAAAUUUAUACACAUGAUCGAAACGCUAUAAACUUCAACACAUCCAAUUAUGAUUUUUGUAAUACAUAGUUUUCAACACAAAAGCGGUUUACACCUAACUUUUACAACAUAGUAAAAAUGAUAGAUUGCAAUAAGAUUAUAAGAAUAACACUACCAAAAAAAAAAAGUGAAGAUGAUAUAAUAAUGACCUGAGAGUUUCAAGUUUGGAACUAUGUUUUUGUAGCAAGCCAAAACUUCUUCAAAUCCAUGGCAUGGUGAAUGAUCACUAUGAAAGCUGAAUACUUCUUGAUCAUGUGUGGUAGCUGUAUAUAUAAUGGUAAAAGUUGAGCCAUAACUUGAAUUGCAAAAAACAUUAAUUACAUUCUUUUUACAUAUUCUACUCUAAGGACACUAGAUCUUACCAUCACCAAAGCCAAAGCAUGGAAUCAAGUUGUCUUCAUCAAAGGGAGCUAAAGUCUUGCCAACAAUUGAUAUGGCCUUCUCAUAUGGGUUUGGUGUAUCUCCAAUUGCAUGCAGGCUUUUCUUAUUGAAUGAGAUUUGGCCUUCAAAAAAAAAGGGAUGCAUUGGCUUAAUAACGGAACACUUUGAGAAAAAAAAAUAUGUUCAAGCUGAAAUUAUAAUCAAUGUUUUAAAAAUCGAACCAUGAAUUGAUGCUAUCGAUGGUCGGGUUAUAAUUAAUUUGAAGGUUUCAAUCAAGGCUUCAUCCUUUUUGAGCAGUUUAAAACAGUUGAACCAUGACCUCGAGAAAUAUCGUCGGUUUGAUGUUGAUUUGAUUUUAAAAACAUUGAUUAUAACCAAAACCCUCAAACCAUAUUAUAAAGCAAGCUUUAGCUCCUAAUCAUGCCUAUAAUUUAUAAUAUCAUUGAUGGAAUCACUUGACUAAAUUUUGUUCAUGUAUUACAACUUACCAGUCCACUCAUUACUCUUUGUAAAAUCAAUUCCAAGGAUGAGAUUUGAUGACUCUAAACCUUCUUUCCUAAGUGCUACAAUAACCUAUAAAAAAGGACAAUGAAAAUUAAAUAAAAUCAUCUACAAAGUACACAUUGCCAAUAACAUGAUAGCUUAAAAGAGUUACAAUUCAAAUAUGAUUACUACUUAAAAGAUCUAGUUCAAUUGUGAAUUUUUUUUUAAAUAAAUUGGAAGGCCGAACUCAUUCCAUAUGAGAAAAAAUUAUUUUAUUUUAUUUUUUUUAUAAAAAAUGAUAAUUUUUACUUUAUUAUUACAUGAGUUGAGAUCCCUUCUUUUCCUCAAGAACGAUAAAUGUAGAGUGUACAAAAGCAUCACUGUGUUUGUUUGGCAUCCCAACUUUGGCCCGAAACAAACAAAAAUUAUAUAGUGUACACUAAAAAAAUUUAUUAAAAAAAAUUAGGUAAACCAAACAUAUGCCUAGUGAUUCUUAAUAUAGAGUGUCCUUUUAAAAAAAGUUGUUCUUACAAAUUAAGCAAACAAUAACAUGCUUCACCAUGUCAGAGGCACUAACAAUUAAUUCCAUUAACAAACACUUUCGUUGAAUAGUUUAAAAUCGUCAAACCCUUUGCUGAUAGCUUAAUUUGGAUCUAUAUACUUUUUUGUUUUUAUCAAAAUGGAAAACUUUUAUUAUUAGUAAACAGCCUUAACAUAUAGUAGACGAGUAGACCAAAAUAUUUUCAUUUUUUUCUACUUUUUUAGACUUGUGAUUUAUAUAUUUACAUAUAUAAAGUUUCAUCUUCAAAUUUGCUUUAGACCAACAAAUAUAUUGGAUCGGCACUAAUUUUGAUAUACAAAUUCUGAAUCAAAUUUUGUUUUUUCUUUAAAGAACUUCCCUAAAUUGUACUAUAAAAAAAAAAUAACACUACCAAAAAAUAAAAACAAAAGAAAGAAAGAGAAUGAAGCAGCAAAAGAAAAAACAUGACGGUUAGGUUUUUUUUUUGUGGUGGCCGGGGUUUGAACCCCGAAGACGAUGGUUAGGUUUAUGAAGACAUGUAAAGUACUCUUACAAAUUCUUGAUUACUAGUAUUUAAUAACAGUAACUAGAGAGACAAUAAUUAUAACUUUGAUAGGUUACUUUAGCAGAGGGACGGUUAGGUUAUUGGUUCAACUAUCUUCUCUAACAUUCUAAUUAAUUAAUAAUUACUAAUAUUUGUGGUUAAAUAAUAAUAGAGAAACAUAUAUACUCCCUCCGUCUUAAAUUAUAAGCAAAAAAAUUCAUUUUCUUUGUCCUAAAUUAUAAGCAAAAAAGACCAACUUUUAUCAUAUUUAAUUAUAUUUUUUCAAAAAAUUAUCUUUUCCAAAGGAAAAUUAAAUGCAAAGUGCAUUCAAUUUGCUCUCUUUUUCAUUUUCUCUAUAAUCAACUACCAAUGAAAAUUGUUUUUACAUCUUCCUAUAAAACUUAUUUUAAAGAUAACACAAAAAACUAUCUUACAAACUACCAUGUUUUAGUUUUCUUAAUAAAUGUGAUUUUUUUUUUUUUUUUUGCUUAUAAUAUAGGACGGAGGGAGUACCUGUUCAAGAGUUGUGAAGUUAUCUUGAAUCAAAUCAUACUUCUUGAGAGGUUUCUUGGUGUUUGAACUUUGUCCAGAAAUAACUUGUCGUGGUAGUGGUAAUGGGACAGGUUUGUGAAUUGGAAAAUUAGAUGAAGAGAUUCUUUCAUCUCUUCCUUUAGGAUCAUUCCUAGUAUCUUGAUGCUCAUGCUUUUUGUUUUUACCUAAGAGGUUACCCAUAGCAUCAAUUCAACUAGCGUUUCUCUACAUAUUGAAAGAGAGAUGUAUAUAUAUACACGUAAUGGUAGAAACGAAAUACAAACGAAGGUGCAACCCGUGUGUUUCCUAGAAAAUCAUGUUAACAAAAAAGGGGUGAAUUUUAAAACGAAAAAAAAUAAAUUAUAAUUGCUAAUUACUAUAUUGGUAUUAGAUUCUAUUCUUAUUGGCAUUGGGGCUUUAUUUUGCUUUUUAGCUUUGUAAAAUAUUUAGUGUUUAAGUUUUUAUUUUAUUUUAUUUUUUGACAUAAAGAAGCUUAUAACUUUUUAUUAUUUAUCAAAGUAGUUAUACAAUGUGGAAUAAUAUAUGUGGAAUAAUUGUCCUCGUGAACUUAGUUCAGUUGGUAGAGACAAUGCAUAAUAUAUGCAAGGUCUGCGGUUCAAACUCCGGCCACCACAAAAAAAAAAAAGUAGUUGUAAAAUGUGGAAUGUUAUGAUGAACUUCGAAACUAGCAUGAUUUAGUGCUCCCUAGCUAAACUAUGGGCGGCUCUAUUGGCUUGUCUUCUAAUGAACUUCAAAUCAGAGUUCACUAAAUCAAUCAUCAACAAGUGUCUACAAUCACGAAUUAUAGCCAUAAAAUCAUAGACAAUGUCCCCUUGGUAGAUACUAUCUGCCACAACUUUGGAAUCAAUCGUCUAAGACUCUAGGUCUGCUUUUGUUCAUGGCAGGCAAAAUUUAGAUGGUAUUUUAAUAGUUAAUGAGAUGGUUAACAAGGCUCGUCGUUUGAAAAAAGAGUUGUUACUUUUCAAAAUAGACUUUGAAAAGGCUUUUAACUCUGUUGACUGGCAAUACUUAAAUGUUGUUAUGCACAAGAUGAAUGUUCCCAAGUUAUGGCGUAAAUGGAUUAUGGAAUAUGUAUCACUACAACUUCCACUUCUAUCCCAGUAAAUGGAAGUCCAACAGAUGAGUUCCAAUUUGAACGACGACUUCGCCAAGGUGAAUCCUUUUCCCCGUUUCUGUUCUUAAUUACAGCGGAAGUCCUCAAUGUUAUGAUGAAUGCUCUUGUCAAUGUUUGCUUUUUCUUCAACUAUCAGGUGGGUCGAACUGAUAUUGUUCGUAUUUCUCGUUUGCAAUUCGUUGACGAUACUUUACUUGUUGGAAACAAAAGUUGAGAAAAUAUUCGGUCUUUAAAGGCCUUACUUCUGCUUUUGGAGGUGGCUUCAGGCCUUAAGGUCAGUUUUCAUAAAAGCAUGCUUGUAGAUGGUAAUGUUCUGAACAGUUGGUUAAAUAAGGAUUCUAUAGUUAUGAAUAGCAAAAUUGGUCAUCUUCUGUUCAUGUACCUAGGUCUUCCAAUUGGAGGUGACUACCGAAAGCUCAAUUUAUGAAAACCUUUGGUUGAGAAGGUUAAUUCAAGACUGUCUGGAUGGAAGAGUCACAAUUUAUCUUUAGGUGGUCGUUUAGUUCUUCUGAAGUUUUUUCUAUCCUAUCUCCCGGUUUAAUUCACUUCCCUUGAAUCUAUUUUUAAUUGUUUUUUUUUAAGUAGGAUGGAGGUCUAUGGGUCAAGAUUCAAGAAGAUUAGGGAGUUUAAAUUUUCUUUACUACACAAAUGGUGUUGGAGGUUGAGGCAGGAAAAACGUUGUCUGUGGUAUAGUGUUUUAGCAUCGCGUUUGUAAAGGGUGGAUCUCUAGGCGAUGGGGGGAGAAUAGCUUCGGUGUGGUGGAAUGAUUUUCUUACCAUUCAGAGAGGUGAUGGUCAGGGGGUUGGUUAUUGCUUUACCGAUCAUAUUCGGUGUGAGGUUGGGGAUGGAGUGAAAACUUUAUUUUAGUGGGAUCCUUGGUUGGAAGAAGGAAUUUUAAAGGAUAAAUUUAAUCGCCUUUUUUAUCUUUCUGAUAACAAAUUGACAACUGAGGCAGACAUGUUUUUGUUAGGAUGUGGGGAUGGAGGAGAGGCUUGGAAAUGUUGUAGGAGAUUGUUGGCUUGGGAGGAAGAAUUGGGGAGGGAAUGUUGUGAGCUUUUAUUACCGAUUGUUUUGCACGCUGAUAUGAAUGAAAGAUGGAUUUGACAACUUCAUGCCUCUUCAAAAUACAAUGUUACUAGUGUUUACAAUUUUUUGACAUCAAGGGAUUAACCUCCAAACAAUGAUGACAAUUCUAUUAUUUGGCACAAGAGGUUCCUCUAAAGGUUAACAUAUUUGCUUGGCGUCUUUUGUGAAACCGCCUUCCAACAACUGAUAACUUAAUCAGGCAAAGGAUCCUUCAACCAAAUAUGUUUUUUGCUCAAGAGGUUGUGGCUCACAAGAGGAUUCUGGUCAUUUUUUUGACCUGUGACUAUUUUGGACAAAUUUGGUAUGAAAUUUAUAAUUGGCUUGGAGUGGUUUCAACCAAACCAGCUCGAGUAAAGGAUCACUUUCUUCUUUUCCGAUCGUUGAGCUGCUUCUCAAAAAAAUUUUGUUCUGCUUUUUAUUUAAUUUGACUUUCUUCCAUUUGGAUUAUUUGGCAUGACUAGAAUGCAAGAUUUUUUCAAUAAAAAGGAAAUUCAAUCAUCCAACUUAUAGAUAAAAUUAAGCUUCAAACCUUCUAGUGGUUGAAGGCAAAUCAUCAUAAUAUAUGUUUACUUCUGUAUUUUAAGUGUACAUGCAUCAAGGCCAUAUCGUUUUUUUACCUUUGAUAAUCUGAUGUAACACACACUUCUUUUUAUCUUAGUUCUUCUAUAACACUCCUUGUGCUUGAGAGACUUAGCUUUGGCUAAUAAUCCAUCCGUAACAAAAUAAGAGAGUCUUGUAUAAAAAUAAUAUUGUCCUAAAAUAUCUGACUCAUUUCACUUUUCAAUGCAAUAUUAAUCACUUUUUUUCCAAUAUUAAUCACUUCUCAUUCAAUAUAUUCUACUUUGCAUUUGUGAUAAUGGUAAAUGCACCAAUAAUUGACAAAAGAAAAAUUAAAACCAUUUCUCUAUCUCCUUCACCAAUACAUUUUUCUUAAUAGUGUGAAAUGAACAAAAUGCUCACUUAAAUUGGGACGGAGGGAGUAUAUUUCCUUUUAACUACUUAAAUAAAAACUUUAUACGUCAAAAAAAUCAUAAUUGUAAAUUAAUACUCAAAUAAAUCAUGAUAAUAAAAUAUUUUAAGACCUUUCAAAACACUAAUUUUAAGGUAAAGGAUACAGUCCAAAUACAUCAUAUAAUAACGUAUUGAUAUCCAAUUAUGUUGACACCUUUUUGUUUUUUUUUUUUGGAAGGAAUGUUGACACCUAAAUGCGGUCAUUUAUCAUUUCCAACAACUUAAUAAAUAUAUUAAAAUAAAAUAAGAAAAGUAGUUUGCGUAACUAGGUCAAAACCAAAUUUUGAUUGACUGCAGUCAUAAAAAUGACACAGUAACACAAUCAAACAAACUACAGUCAUCUGAUUAAAUCAAGGGUGCAAAUUCAAUUUCUCUCAGCCCACUACAUUAGGGUAGUAAAAACAAAACGCCUCUUUGUAAUCUUCUUUCUUUCCUAUUUUACCCUUCAUUUAAACUAUUUUAUUUACUAUUUCAUCCUUUUAUUAUAUUAUUUAAAUUAUUAAUUAAAGAAACCAAAUACAUUAAAAUGGAAACUACAACACUGAACAAUAUUAUACAUAAAAAAAAAAGAGCUUAUUUAAUUGUUUUUAGGUAACUUAUUUUAAUCUUACUUGCCAAAUAUAUUUAAUCAUAAUUGGUAUUUUAUUUUUGAGUUUAAUGGUGGUGAGUUAACAGUCCAAAACAGUUUUGCACGCACAACCAAUCAAAAUAUUCUGAAUUGCCACGUUUGGUCCAUAUGAAUUAAAAUCAUUCAUUGAUGUGGUGAUUCUAAAUGUUUUGAUUGAUUGUAUGUGCAAAACUGUUUUGGACUGUCAACCCACCACAAUUAAACCAUUUUUUUCAAAACGGUUUAACCGAGCGAAAAAAAAGGUUUUGCACAUAAGUUUUUAGUCCUUAUAAAUACAGUGAAUUUUAAUUUUAGUUCAUAAAAUAUUAAACUGAAUAUUUUUAUCCUCACAAUUUUUUUAUUUUGUUUUUGGUCCUUAAUGGCCCAUUAUAUUCAUAUGAAUGUCAAAAUUAUAAUUCUUUUAUGUUCAAAUUGUAUUCAUGUUAUAUCCGUUCAUUAUGUUUCUUCAAAAAAAAAAAAAAAAAGUCUGUUCAUUAUGUUUAACUUUUAUAUAUUCAUAUUAUGUUCAAAAAAUAAAAAAAAACAUGUCAAAAUUAUAUCAAUUAGGGACCAAAAACAAAAAAAAAAUGAUGAUGAUGAUAAUAUCUCAUUUUAUUUUUUAGGGACUAAAAUCCAAAUUUGACAUAUUUAUAGGGACGAAACACUUAUUUAACCCGAUAAAAUAUUUUGAUUUUAUUAUAACUCGUUUUACAAUUUCAAUACAUUAUUAAUAUUACAAGUUGAUUAAUGAUAACCCGAAAGUUGUAGCUGGACUAAAAGUUUUUUUUUUUUUUUUAUCAUAUCCUUUUCCAUUUAUUAGUCUCUAAUUUUUUCAUUCUUUUAAUCUAUUUUUUUCUCGUAUAAUUAAUGAACGAUAAUUUUAUAAAAUUAUUUAUACUUUAUCUUUUCAAUACAAAAUUAAUUACAUUUUUUAUAUGUGUGAAAAUAUAAAAACAACUUAUAAUAAAAUAGGGAAAGUGUAAAUUGCUAAGAUAUGAUAUGAUUGAAAAAAAAAUUAAAUACUAUAAAAUAUGUAAAAUAUUAAAGAAAAUCAAAUAUAUUUUACGAUUUUUUUUCAAGUAGUUUAAUAGGAUCCCAGUUGACCUUGUGAAGAGUAGAAAAUUCAGGAUUUGAAUUCAAACAUAUUUGUCUCAAUUUAACUUGCUAGCUGAACUGACAAUGACUCUUUUAUGUAAUUUAGUUACACAUAUUUGUUAAUUGUGAAACAGGUAGGACAUAGAAUAAAAUAAGUAGCUGUCCAAAAAUAGCCAAUGUCCCAAUUAUGGAAUUAUAUGACUUGACACUCUUGCUUCAAAAAAUGACUUGACACUCCACACGUAUCAACUAACUUAAAACUUACGGUCAAGUAAAAAUAUUUUCUAUACAUUGACUUCAUAUUUGAAUUAUAGUGUUGAGGAAAGUUCAUAGAGAGUCUAAACUACACACAAGCGGGACAUAGUCUAAACUAGUAAAAAACAACAAAAACGAACAACCCAACAAGGUAAAGGGCUAUGAAGCGUAAACUCCGACACGGAUAUCUAAUACGAUACUAACACGGAUAAGUUGACACUGUUAAUGUAAAAAAUAUAGGACACCGACACCGCUACGUAUAUGUUAAUUUAUUUAAAGACGGUCUAAAAUGAAAACUAAAAUACAUAUAUAAACAUCUAACUUGAGAAAUUUAUUUCAUUAAAAAAAGUUCUCCAACAAGAUAUCAUAGUAUUUGACCUUUAUUUAUUCAUCUACUGUAAAAAAAAAAACUAAAAAUGAUAUAAUCAACUAUAAUGUACAUAACCCCUAAUUGAUCAACAUUUUUCAAAACAUAUACAACUCUUGUAUCUAUGGCAUGUGAAAGCAAAAGAGAAAAAAGUAGUUGUAAAUAUUUGUGUAAGUUUUCCGACACGACUCGUAUAUGAAUGUUAUAUAGGUGUCAGACACUUCAAAUAUAUUAUGGUAUGCUUUAUCUCUCAAGUGUGUCAUUCAAUAGUGGGUUACAAUCCACUUUUAUGGUGAAAUUAAAACCCACCCAACCGCCUCAGAGCCACAAAAAAAAACUAAGAGCAUGUUUGAAAUAGUUUUUGUUUUCAAUUUUUGAAAUAUAUAAGUCCUCUUCUCACAAUAGUUAUCCUUUUAUAUGUUUUAGUUUUAGUCCCUAAAACUAAAAAAAAUUCAAAACAGUUUCCAAAACUGUAAUUUUAAAAAAUAGUUUACCAAUUUUUUUUUUAAUUUUCAAGUUUUUAAAAACUAAAAAAGAGUUUUUGGGAAGUGUUUCAAACAUGCUCUUAGUCUCUGCCUCCUACGUUGAUAGAUUACCAACACACCCAAUGGUUUUGAAUAUGAACAAACUAAUUUGUAUAAAACACACUACUACAAAAAACCCCCUUUAAUAGCGUUCCUUUGAGGCAUUUAAUAACGCUUGUGAAGUGCUAACAAAGCCCCUGCUAUUAUAGGUCAGAACCCCUACAAUAGCGUUUUCUAGAACACAAUUAAAUAGCAAGGUUUCAAUAGUGCUUUCAGAAAAGCGCUAAUAUAGCCUUAUUUUUGUUCUAUUUUUAAACAUAUGUUUCUUAGCGCUUUUCGGAAAUCGCUAUCUUAACUAUCCCUCCUUUAUAUAAAGCCGUGCUGUUAUAAGCUUUUCUUUUUAAAUCUUGCAUUCGAAAGUUCAAUAGUGCAACAAAUUAGCAAAUCAAUCAAACAUCUCAUUCCAUCCAUUGAUAAAAAAAUAAACACUAGUAAUAUGUUCGUCGAAAACUUGGUUACAAAAUAAAUCUCAUAUAUUAAUCAAUCCUAGAGAAGGACAUUUAAUUUACAAAACUAAAAUUGUAAGGCUAGUGCACAUAUAGCAAAAGUAGUCGCAACCAACAAAAAAAAACCAACUGCAAAGGUACUCAUGUCAAGCGAUCCAACGUCUAGAGGUUAAAGCUAACUCUAACAAAUGAUUUCCUGUGUCAUAUGGAAGGAAAUUUUGUAUUUGAUUUCCAACACAUAACCCACAUGCCUAACAUUUUAUCUCUCAACCUUAAUAAAAAUGAUAGAGUUAACUAACCUGAUUCACGAGAGAUGAGGAUAUUCAACGCAAAUGCUCAGUGAAGAAUCAAUAGAAAAAAUCAGAAGCACGAAAUAUUCUACAAGCACAAGUAAACCAACAAAAAAAAACAAAGAAAUGAACUCAGUUUAGAUUUAUCAAAGUUAAGUAUAGAUAAAAAAAACCAGUAAGUUGUGCUUAACUUUUCUUUAUAAUACGCAAACGAACCACAAAUAAUGUUCACAGAGUACUAAUUUACCUUUUCAAGUUUCCUUUGAGUGACAAGUUGAACCUACCGUGCGAGGAUAUUCAACGCAAAUGCUCAGUGAAGAAUCAAUAGAAAAAAUCAUAAGCACGAAAUAUUCUACAAGCACAAGUAAACCAACAAAAAAAACAAAGAAAUGAACUCAGUUUAGAUUUAUCAAAGUUAAGUAUAAAUAAAAAAAACCAGUAAGUUGUGCUUAACUUUUCUUUAUAAUACGCAAACGAACCACAAAUAAUGUUCACAGAGGACUAAUUUACCUUUUCAAGUUUCCUUUGAGUGACAAGUUGAACCUACCGUGCUUUUGAAAUUUUGAUUUUGCGGAGAGUUGUGCUUUUGCUGAAGAUUGGGGAACAAACAUGACAUUAAGUAUAUACUGUCCAACUCAACAUCAACAUAUGAGAUAAAAGACAAAGAAAUAUCAUUGAUGGUGAUGAUGACUCAAGCAACCAUAGGUAUUAGUUCUGCCAUUCAUUUUAUAAAAAAAGUUUAGAAAAGAAGUUUGAGUAUGAUUAUAAAAAUCUGGGAAAAUUUAUAAAUUUGGGGAAAUAAAAAAGAGGAACAAAUAAAUUUGGGGAAAUAAAAAUGGAAUGUUUCAUUAUAAAUUAAUGAUGAUAAAUAUGUUUCUUAAUUAGGUGAUAGAGAGUAUUUUGUGUAUAUUAAUUAAUUUGGUGAUAGUUUUAAAUCUUUCGAUUAAAUGAAAUGAAUGGAUAAGAUUUGGUAUCAAACAAAUUUUGAGGAAUAAAUAACAACCGUUAGAUUAAAAUGUGUGGCUGAGAUUAAAGAUAGGUUAAGUAUCAAGGGAUACAGGAAAACCCACACGCGUUUUUAUUCCUACGCGUUCUUUCUUCUUCUCCGCCUUCACCACAGGUCCCAAACCUCCUUCCUAAAUCAACAAAUGGCUGAACAAUUUUGAUAAAAAUAAAAUCUUAAGGAGAAGAAGUGGUGUUGUUGACACCCUUAUUUCCCCAAUUUGAUAACAUUAUUUUAUUCGUAAAAUCCAGAACAAGGAAAUUGUGAAAUUAGAAAUUGAUAUUUAGUCAAAAUCUGAAUUUGAAAUUAAAUUGGAAACCCUUGAAAUUGGAUCCGUGGUCAUGGUCCUCCAAAUUACUUUAAUAUCAAUUUAUAUAUAUUAAGUUUAAGAAGAUAGAUUGCAGGAAGUGAAUGAAAUAAAUUGUUGAACAAUUUUGCAUAUGAAGGUGGAUUGGAAAAGAUGAGAAGGGAAUGAUUCAUAAGAUUGGAUAGACUAUGGAGAGACACAUGUUUUGUUUAAAAUAGAUCUUUUAAUCUCAGCCAUACAUUUUAAUCUAAUGAUUGUUAUUUAUUCCUAUCAUUCUCACAUAAAUAUGUUAUUCUCAUUUGAUAUGCCCCAUAUAUAUAUAUAUAUUUUAAAGAAUUCUAUCAUAUAUUUGAAGUCUUCUGAAAAUUUUAGGAUGCUCUUAUUCUAUGAAAUAUUUUGUAAAUAUUUUACAAAGAAUAUUGCUAUUUAUUUAGAGAGUUUUUAUCAAGAAAUUGUCUCAACCAAAUAAAUUUGUUAUUUGGCGGAAAUCAAGGGAGGUAAUAGUGUGUAUUUAAGGAAAAGUGUUAACAAAUACACUGUCUUAAAAUUUUCUUGAUAAAUUUUGUCACUGUAUCUAUCAAUUUCCUUUUACAAAAUAUUUAUAAGCAGGACUCUUGAUGAACUUUAAGUACAAUUGAGUUUUACCAUAAAUAAAACUCCCUAAUCAGGACUCUUGAUGCACUUUAAAUAAAAUUAAUGUUUACCAUAAAUAUAAAUACGCGUGUACUAUCAGUCAAAUAAUAACCAUAAUCAGGACACUUUUUUUUUUUCUAUGAGAAAAUAACCAGGACACUUAUGCGUCUAUAUUUUUUGACAUUUACUUAUUUUAUUUUAUGUCUCUCUUUUUUUUGAACAAAUUAAUUUAUGUCUCUUAGUAGUUAGUAGUUAGUACCUUUUCACAAAUUGUCAUUAAAUAUUUAUAAAAAAAGGUCAUUAAAUUGUAACUUAAAAAAGAAAAUUAUAUCUAAAUAUCUUUAGUAUUUUAUGUAUCAAAUAACUUGAUAUCUUUUCAAUAAUAUAUAUAUUUUCAUCUAAAAAAAAUAUAUAGAUGAACUUCUAUAGUCUAUAUAGAGUGGUGAUAGGCAUACCUCCUUAGGUGGCAAACACCAUUUGACCUCCACACAAAAAAUUGACACAUGGCAAACUUUAACUAUUCAAAACAAUCCAAAAAAACAGCGAGAAUCUCCCUCACAACUUCUCUUGCUCCCCCUUCUCUCUCUACUUACUCUCCCCCCACCAGCAUUCUCCAUCACCACCGUUUGUCACCACCAUCAUCUUUUUUAUUUUUUUUAAACAGCUUGUCACCACCAUCAUCUCUUUCAAAAAAAAAUAAAAAUUUCUUUUCUCAUUAAUCUCUGUCUCUUAUCCAUCCAACCACCCUCUUCUCAAUUUUUCGUCCACCCCACCUCCGUCCGUCGCUCAGCCUCUCAUCUCCGCCACACCUCAGUCUAGAUCUAAGAACUCUGCUGGUGGCAUCCCUUUCAUAACUACUUACCCUCUCUUCAUCCAUCAGCCACCACCACCGGCCACAUCCACCAACGUUAUCCGUCGUCUUCAACCUCAAUUAAAAAGAAAGUAUUGAGAGAGAAGAGAGAAGGGGCUGAAGAGAGAAAAAGGAUGAACAAUGAGAGAGGGGGAAGAGUUUAGACUGUACGUUUGCCAAGAGAGAGAGAAAGCAAAGUUCUGAAAUGAGUGAAAUUAUAAAAUGUGUGAAACUACUAAAAUGCCCAUACCACAUCAUCAGUGGUACAAAAGGGUGUAUAGAAAGAGUGGUUUGUGUAUCUUUUUCCGUCUAUAUAUUGGAAGCAUACACUUUUUUGUUCAGAUGUUUGGCUUGGUGGGGUGUCGUUUAGAGUCAGGUUCAACAAGUUAUUAGGUUGGAGGGGGUGGGGGGGUGUGUGUGGGUGGGUGGUGGAGGUGGUGGAGGCAUAUGUUGUUUGCGUGGGAGGAGGAGUUGGUGGGGGAACUUAUAUUACUACUUCAUAAUGUGACUUUGCAGGUUGAUAAGGAAGACAUAUGGCUAUGGACAUUGGAAUCAUCUCAUGCUUUCUCUGUUCAUAGUGUUUACAAUUUCCUAACUAUUCAACCUCCUAUUGCUUCAGCGGUGGUUGUUUCAUCUCUUUGGCAUAAGGAUGUCCCUCUGAAGGCAGUGUUGUUUGCUUGGCGGUUGUUCCGAGACAGGGUGCGGUUCGGUUGAAUCGUCUUAUCAUUUAUUCUUACAUUGUAAUAUUUUGGUUCUGUCUGGCAUUUUAUCUAUAGAUGGAUGGACAUUUCUGCGGUCGUCCCUCUUUAUGUGCCGGAUCAUUUUAAUCAAUUCAGUUAUAGUGGUGGUACCGUAAAGGUUAUUUGGUUUGCUACUAUUUGCUUUCAAUAUUAUAAGUUAGUAUUUUGUUUGCUACCAUUUGGGAAAUUUUGAAAGAAAGAAAUAAUAGGCUAUUGAAAGACAAAGAACGCUCGGUAAUACACGUGGUUGAUAAGAUUAAGUCUCUCGCUUUUAGGUGAUUGAAGGCGAAAUUUACUUCUCUUCCCUUCAAUUACCAUGGUUGGUGGCUUAGUCCGUUUACCAUACUGGACAUAGGCUAAUAGUUAUUUCUUUUCUUGUUUUUAUUUCUUACUCAGAUUCUUUUUAGUAAAUAUUGUUUCGACUUUAUUGUCUCUUCCUUAAUACACCUUGUGUUAAGAAUGACACUUUGAUUUAAUAAUAUAUUCCAUUUUAGCCUCUUCAAAAAAUAAAAUCAUCAAUAUUAUAUUGUUGUAUCUAAGUUUGUUUAUAACCUUAUAAUAUCUUUGUGGAAAAAUGUUAAGCCUGGUUAUAAAUUUGAUAUCCUAAUUUUACUCAUUAACAGAAAUUGGUCUCUAAAUUCAAGAUGACUCAAUUUUGCUUACUAUAUUAGAUUUUUGUACUUCAAAAAUGGUGAAAUUGAAUGUAAAACUCAAUAUUUUUAAUUGAUUUUGUUGUAAUUUCGCAAGUGUUGAUAACUCUACAUUUAAUGUCGUAUGUCACGUCAUAUAUAAUUUGUCAAAUCAGAAAUUUUAAGUACAAAAAUAUGAUGCAGCGACAAAAACCAUGUGAUUUUAUAAUGAGAGACCAAUUUUGUGAAUAAGUGAAAACAGUGAAUCAAAACUAUAAUCAAGCCAUCUGUAAAAAAAAAAAAAAAAACUAUAAUCAAUCCAAAGUCAUAUAAUAUCUUAGAUUAUGUCCUAAAUAGUUAUUUUUUCACAAUUUUUAUUUUUGAAUUAAUAGGUCUUUACCCUAGGAAUAUAGGUCAUUUCCGAUUUUCUCUCUUGUAAUUUUUUUUUUAUUUAUCUCCUGUAGAAAAAAAAUUGUUUUGAUUUACCCCCUAAUAGGCCAAACAAAAACGAAAAUUUCUUGAAAAAAAAUAAAAUUGAUUUUUGUUUGGCAUGUUAGGGGGUAAAUCAAAACAAUUUUUACAGGGGUUAAAUAAAUAAAAAAUUACAGGGGAAAAAUCGGAAAUAACCUAUAUUACAAAAGGUAAAGACCUAUUUACCUUUAUUUUUUGUAGUAAAAGUUCAAAUAUAUAUAUUUUUUUGAGGUAUAUAAAUGCUUCUAUAUCAUUUAGCAUCUUAUAUUAGGCAAAGACAGAAGAAUAUAAUUGUACAAAACUAGCAAGCAAAAGAAAGUGUCAAGAAUAGAAUCAGAUACCAAGAUAUAGUACAUAAUUAAAUUUUUUUCAAUCUUCUUUAAAACUUCACCGGUUUUUUUGUUCAUAAUAUGAUUUUCUAGGAACAACACCAUUUGGCACCUUCCUUUGUAUUUCGUUUUUUUAACCUCAAUCUAUUUAUACAUCUAAAUCUUUUAUUAUGUAGAAAACCAAGUUAAAUCCCUUCAAACAAAAGGAAAACCUAGUUGAACUUGAUUCCAUGGGAAACCUCUUGGGUAAAAGUAAAAAGCGUAAUCCUCAAAAUUCUAGGAGUGAUAAAGGAGGAAGAAUCUUGUCCAACAUUCCAGUUCAUGAACCUAUCCCAUUACCACUUACACAACAAGUUGCUUCAAUGUCUAAGAAAUCAAAUUUUGGGACACAUAAUUCUGGACAAAGUUCAAACACCAAGAAACCUCUCAAGAAGUAUGCUUUGAUUCAAGAUAACUUCACAACUCUUGAACAGGUAUAAUGAUUUUCUCUAUUACUUUUUUUAUCUCAAAUAUUAGUCAUUAUUAAUUUAAUCAGUAUUUUUUUUUGCUUGUGUCGAAAAAAGAAUUACUUUUAUUAAAUCAUGUAAAUAUUCUGUGCGAGUUUUACAUGUAUUCUUCAACUUUUCUUGUUGUUUCUUUUGUUGCUUCAUUCUGAGUUUUGCUUGUAUAGUACAAGUUAUGAAAGUCUUUCAGAAACAAAAUUUGAUUGAAAACUUGUAUAUCAAAAUUGGUGUCGGUCCAAUACAUUUGUUGGCCUAAACUAAAUUUUAAGCUGAGUUUAAUUUUCUUGUCAAAAAAAAAAGUUGAGUUUAUUUUUAAUUUUUUUAAAUAAAAUUUUAUAUAUAAGAGUGAGCAACAUAAAAAGUUGGUUUAGCAUAAGGGGUUAAACAUGCUAAGGAAAAAAGCUUGAUAAAGUAAAACAUACCGGAAGCAUAUAGGUCCACAUUAAGUAUAUAGCAACAACUUUAAAGAUUUUAAACUCUGCAAUGAAAGUGUUUGUUAAUGGAAGUAAUAACUAUUGAACCAUGGACCACUCAUUUGGUAGUAAGAUGUUAGUGUGUUUGGCAUAACAUUUUCUAUUUUAAUUUAAAUUAAAGGGAAAAAGGAAUACCACAAUAUGGCUAUGCUUGUUACUUUUUGCUUAAUUAGUACCAAUAACUUUAUUAAAAGGACAUUCUUUAUUAAGAAUCACUGUUUCAUUUUUAAAAGAGAUAAAAACCAAUAUUAUUUAAUUUUCAUUGUCAUUUUUUAAUAGGUUACUGCAGCCUUGAGGAAAGAAGGUUUAGAGUCAUCAAAUCUCAUCCUUGGAAUUGAUUUUACAAAGAGUAAUGAAUGGACUGGUAUGUUCAUGUACAUGAACAAAUUUUAGACAAGUGAUUCCAUCUUUCCAUUUAAGAGUUAAAGUUUUCUAUGCAUGGUUAUAAUCAAUGUUUUAAAAAUCGAACCGAACAUGAGUCAAUAACAAGACCUAUCAACUAUGAUUCAACGACUUUAAUCCGUUUGAACUGAAAUGAAACUGCGGUCAAACAAAUCAGUUUAAUAACUGAACCGUAGACAAUGUCAGUUCACGGUUCAAUCGGUUGAGUUUUCCAAUUCGGUUUGGUUUUUAAAACAUUAGUUUUCAUUUGUUCUUUGAAAUGAUUUUUUAUCUUCUGAAUGCUCCCCUAUAAAGUCAAUAUAUUCUUUUUUUUGAAGGCCAAGUCUCAUUCAAUAAGAGAAGCCUGCAUGCAAUUGGAGAUACACCAAACCCAUAUGAGAAGGCCAUAUCAAUUGUUGGCAAGACUUUAGCUCCCUUUGAUGAAGACAACUUGAUUCCAUGCUUUGGCUUUGGUGAUGGUAAGAUCUAGUGUCCUUAGAGUAGAAUAUGUAAAAAGAAUGUAAUUAAUGUUUUUUGCAAUUCAAGUUAUGGCUCAACUUUUACCAUUAUAUAUACAGCUACCACACAUGAUCAAGAAGUAUUCAGCUUUCAUAGUGAUCAUUCACCAUGCCAUGGAUUUGAAGAAGUUUUGGCUUGCUACAAAAACAUAGUUCCAAACUUGAAACUCUCAGGUCAUUAUUAUAUCAUCUUCACUUUUUAUUUAUGUAGUCUUAUUACAGUCAAUCAAUUCAUUAUGUGAGGUAAAACAAUGUAUAAUUGUAGUUAGGGACGAAUCUACGACUAUCAUAAUUAACAGAGUUUCUCCCACCAAGCUACCAUGAUUCCGAUAUUUCAGUCUUAACGACUUAUAUAUGUGUUUUUAUUAAAUAAUUUAAUCUUGAUGUAUCUCAUUUGUAAAUAUUUUUUUUUAUAUUCAUGAUCUUGAUGCUGUAAACUUUCAAUCCAAACGAUAGUUUUCUAAUGCAUGUAUCCAAUAAAAUGUUAUGAAGCGGUAUAAUUAACAAUACCAAGUAUUACGCGAGUAUAAUUUGAUCUAUUAUGAGUAUUGUUCCCAAAACUUAAAAUAUGUAGAUUGUAGUCUCUUGCAUAAGAUAAAUGGCUGAAGGAAAUGAUUGGAUUUUGUGUGAAGGACCAACUUCAUAUGCACCGGUGAUUGAGGCUGCAAUAGACAUAGUCGAGAAAAGUCAUGGCCAAUUCCAUGUUUUGGUUAUCAUUGCAGACGGUCAGGUACAUAUAUAAAAUGUUACCUUGAUUCAUUUCUUCAGCAGUUUGCAUAUGAUUGUCAAUUCAUAUGAAUUGUUGGAUUUUAAGGUUACAAGAAGUGUAGACUAUGAUGAUAAUGAACUCAGUCCUCAAGAAGAGAAAACGAUCAAAGCAAUUGCUGAUGCAAGGUAACUAGAUGUCAUUUAGAAACCAUGAACACAAUUUUCAUUAUUUAGGGACUAAUAUGAUGCUAUUUAUUCUUUUCCUAUUGUUCUGUUUUUAUAGUACUUCAAAACAGUUUCAUGUGCAUCAUAUAUGUUAAUGUUCAUUCUUUAUCUAUGAUACAGUAAAUAUCCACUUGCUAUAGUUCUGAUCGGAGUUGGUGAUGGACCUUGGGAAGACAUGGAAAAGUUUGAUGACAAACUUCCGACACGCGAUUUUGACAAUUUUCAGGUAUUACUAAGAAAUAGUACAGUCAAAACGUUUGUCUUAAGUCAUAACCUAUUUUAAUUCGUCCGAUAUUACUCUACUUUGAUGCAACUCUUUUCGGUGAGUGUAAGGCAUCAUAUAAUCUAAUGAUCAACAUCCGGCCGAAGAUAACUGAUACAUUAUCUUUUUCAUCAGUUGGUCACAAUAUUGUUUUUGUUUUCUAUAGUUUGUAAAUUUCACGAAAAUCAUGUCGAAAAACACAAGCGAAACUGAAAAGGAAGCAGCUUUUGCUUUGGCUGCUCUGAUGGAGAUCCCCUUCCAAUACAAAGCAUGUGUCGAAUUUAAAAAACUUGGGUAUGAUAAGAUCCUUAAACAUUAAGCUAUGUUAUUUUUAUCUAUUUUAUUAAAAGUCUUCUACCAAUGACUUGUGCAAUCCACGAAAUCUCUACUAUAUAAUAUUGAUAAUAUAUAUACUUUUUCUAUGAAACAAUGCAACUUUUUCUUUCAAGUGACAUUAUUUAAAGUGAUUAACUUUUGUUGUCAUCUUUGUGUGUCUAUGGAUGGAUAACAGACGUGUAACUGGCAGAGCGAAGAGAAUAGUUCCAAAACCAUCUCCUGUUCCUUAUUCUCGGCCGGUACCAAGCAAUUCGCCAGCAUCAACAACAGAUGAUCAUAAUCAAUCUGUAAGCACUAACUAAAACUUAGAAUGCAGUAUAUUAUAUGAAGUGAGCAAUACAGUCUAGAGUAUGCAUAUAUUGAAUCAAUGAUUGAUAUUGUGUAUGCAUAUAUUGAAUCCAGAGUUCAGUAGGUAAAUCAAUUAAUAUACUUAGACCCAAAAAAUAUUCAUGAAAUAUAUAUAUCAAUCUUUAUUUUUUAUUUUUUUACCAACCGGAGUACUUUCUUUAGAGUAGUCAAAUCCUAAAUCAGUUACUAGAGAAUACUAGGUAAAUUUGAUGUCAGGAAAAAUAUGUUAUUAAGAAGUUAUUUUAUUAAACAUACUGUGUAUUUUUAUUCCAACAACCAUCAUAUACUAAUAAUAUUUUAUGUUUUUUGGUGCAAGUAUAUCAUUGCUAUUUUUUGGUUUGUUGCUUGAUGGUUUAUGCAAUCAAUGGAAUUAUGUAGGCCUGCUGUCCUGUUUGUCUGACCAAUGCAAAGGAUUUGGCUUUUGGAUGUGGGCAUAUGGUGAGCUUGUUUUGAUUAAUUUUAUUUUAGAUUAAACAAUAUCAUUAUCGCUCUUCGAAUUAAUAAUUAAGCAAUAAUUGUCUUAAUUAUUUUUCCAAUUGCUGUUAGAUUAAACAAUAUUUUGGAAUGCAGACUUGCAGAGAUUGUGGAUCAAGAUUACGAGAUUGUCCUAUAUGUCGAGUGAGGAUCACUAGUCGUCUUAGAGUUUAUAACGGUUGAUUGUACAAUGAAAUGGUUUGCAUAAGAUUUAUAUGUAGGGUUGAUGGUGUUGCUCUAAGCCUCUAAGAGCUUAAAAAUUGAACACAGAUUUCUUGUAAUUAAAGUAAUAGCUAGGUAGACGUUGAAAUGUUUCAUGACUGUUGAAAAUUGGUGAUGAGAAAUUCAAAUUGAUUGGCAUUUUUAAGAAGCUAAGCUAACGUUCAGAAACAAUUAAUAUGAAUCGAAUCGAACGAAAUAUACACUUUGUUUCUAAAUGUCGAUGAUGUUUUAGAGUUUAUGUAUGUACAGUAAAAUGUUUCUUUUAUGAUGCAAAGUUUUGACCUUGUUUGACAACUUGCUGGUACAUAUUUCUCUGGUGCAAAUUAGGGAUCUUCACCAUGAAUGUUGAUUAUUUCAAGAAGGACAAUGACAAACUUAUAGGCCAAUUCAGUCAUGGGGAUUGUCGAAAUCUAUCGCCACGGUUUUCCUCAUUGAAUCACGACGGUGCAGGCAUCUGGUUCGCCUUGAAACAUGCAUACUCGCCAACCCUUUUUCCUCGGUAACGCUCCAACCCUCAUUACAUACCUCCGUUUCAUAAAGGUUUGGGAGCAAAACAAAAAUACAAACUUAAAGAUUGGAACUUACAAAUGUUGAACAAAGAUAAAAAGAUUGGAAGGCAAAGCAAAACAAAAAUAAAUUGGGAGCAAAAAUAACGCUUGAUCCCCAGGUAAUAAAGCAAAAUAGAGUAUCAUUAAAACCAAAACGUUUUGACAACAUUCUAAUAAAAUUCUUUCCUUACGAUUGAUGUCCAGUGUCCAGGGUUAAAAACAAUGAAAACUUCUUGGCGGUAAUCGAUAGAGCCAAAAAUGUGUUUUUUUCCUUAUGAUUUUGAUUUUGGUCCCUAACAAUUGAGCGAACUUUGAUUUAAGUCUUUGAGAUUUUUUUUCUUCUUCUUUAUUUCUACUUCUCAAUUAAUGUUAGCAAAAAAAAAUUGACGGGAAUAAAUAAAAUAGCUAUGUCGUCAAAAAUAAUCAUGUGGCAAGAUUCUUGGCCACAUCAACGCCUCCUAUAUAUGCUGUAGAAUCUAUGUUUUCUUACAUAACCUAUUUUUUAUACUGGUGUAUAUUCUAAGGGUUAUUUUAACGAUUAACCCAAAAAUAUAUAUGGAAGAUUGAGAAGUUUUGCAUUUCAUUUUUACGUAAGAUGUGUAAGACCGAGCCACGACUUGAAAAAAUUCAAAUAUUCAAUAUAAAUUAAUUAAAGUAUUAAAUAAGAUUUUAGUCCCUAUAAAUAUAUUAAAUUUUGAUUUUGAUCACUUCAAAAUUUUUCUUCAAACAACAAUCCUCCAAAUGUUUUCCAUCAACAUUUGCAGGGCCGUUCCUUCCCAUGCGCAAGGAGCUCUACGGAGCCGAGCCUCCAAUUUAUGGGGGCCUUAAUUAUUUAUAGGGGUAUGAGUAUAAUUGUUGGGAUGUAGGAUAAUAUUUUCUUUUGUUAUUAUAUCACCGUGAGCUUAGUUCAGUUGGUAUGGAUAUUGCAUAUUAUAUACAGGGGUCGGAGUUCGAACCCUGGACACUCCACUUCUCCACAACUUAAUUGUGUGAGCUCUAGUCAUCAGACUACUUGACCAAUUUUUCCAUUUUUAAUAUUAGAGCCGAGCCUCCAAUUUUUUGGAACGGCCCUGAACAUUUGUUGUCCUUGUUUUUAGUCAAAUCAUGUGUAUCAUUCAUAUUUUUAAUAAUUUUUUGAAGAAAUGUUCAUAUUAUUAUAAGAAUUUCCCCAACAAAAUCUUAAAUAUUUUAACAAAAAAUUGAUUAAAUAUUUAAGUGUCAAUAGUCUAAAAAUUCUUAUAUAAUUUAUUGCUUGUUAAAAAAUUCUAAAAUCUUGCAAGCAAUGUUUUUAUAACGUAUCAAACAUGACCCUAAAGAACCAUGCAAAAGUUCGAAAGAUACACAUUAACUGAUUUAAAAGAAGAUACUAAAUAUACAAGCUGAAAACAUUUUCAGAGGUUGGUGAGGGAGAAGAAGCCCCUUGUGGGAAAAGAAAAAUAACACAUAAAGAAAGAAAAUCGCACAAAAUCACUUAUAAAAAUGCAGGAAUUUACUUGACAAUGCAAUGAAGUAUGAAUGGCCUUGUAUUCCAUCUUUAAUCUUUGAUCACAUAGCAUGAAUGUUUGUGUGUGUGAGAGAGAAAAGAUUUAGGGUAAGACAUAUAAAAUAGUUUUUUAAAGCCAAUUUCGGUAUUACAAUUAAAUCUUCAUUAACCAGAUAUUUUUGGGGAGUGAUUAGAAAAAAUCACAAAAUAAUAUGAAAGUAAUAUAAAAUAAUUAUUUAAGAAGCAAGAUUAUUCCACCCGAAAUUGACACUGAAAAGAAUUGAAUAGAAUUGAAUCUGAGAUCUUUCUUUAAGAAAGAAAGAAUUGAAUAUGAGAUCUUGAGAGGGCACACUAUCAGGUCUCAAACCAACAUCAUCAAACUAACCCAAAUGAAUAGGUAAUAUAAAAUAAUUGAAGCCAAUAAAAAAUGGUUCUGUUUAUAAAUAGCUGACUGACUCGUAAUUAAAGUCGUCGAUUCAACUUGUGCGACCAACUUAUAGAUAUAUUUGAUGGGUCGCACAAGUUGUAAGUAUUAAUGUUUAACAAGUCUUGAAGGAUACAAUGACCUUGGUUAAUGGUUUAUGAACCCGCAAUUAUUCACUUCAAAGAAUUAAAAGUGUGUCUAUUUUUCUUUUAGUGGCCGCGGUUUGAACCCCAAACCUUGCCUAUUUUAUGCAUUGUCCUAACCAAUUGAGUUAAGCUCACGAGGACAAUUAAAAGUGCGUGUAUUUUGUCGUUGAAUUUUAUGAAAUAAAUAUAAAUUAAUUUUUUUACGAGUUUAAUUGAUAUAUUAUGUUGGUGUAAAUUAAUUUUACAUUAAUAUCUAAAAAGAAUCAAUUAUUUAUUAUAGCUUAUUAAAGCAUGGUUGAUUUGUAAAAAAAAAAAACAUGAUUUAACAGAAAAGAAAACAGUUGCUAUUGGAUGACAAUGUAAAAUGAAUAUCGUACAUAUUUUCUCUUAGUUUAAAAAAAUAAUUAAUAAUAAAUUGGUUUAAAGAAGACUUCAUUAAACUAGAGUAAGUUGACAUAAAUCAGAAAGGGUAUGAUCAUUUGGCAACACAGCACGAAACGAAGUAUCUUUUACAAAAACACAAACAGUCACAAAAAAACGUCAAACUCUAAUUCAACCAUUCCAUUCUAUAGGUAUGUGUCUUUCUAUGUUGUCUUUUUUUUUCUUCUUCAAUGUUUGGUGUAGAUUUUGAACUUAUAGUUUUGUCAAUUGCAUAUUUUAUAUUUAUUAUAUUCUUCACUUUGAUCAUGGAUCAUGAUGAACUUUAAACCGCAAAGUACUCUUAUUUUUGUUGUUUGAAUAUUUUUGUUGUUUUGCUUGAAAUUCUUUUGUUUUUGUUUCAUCUCAAACUUUCAUUUUCCUUCUUUUGUUUUUCUUCUUGUUGUUUUCUGGAUAUAGCAGCAGACCAACGGUUACGUAACGUUAAUCUACUUGUUAUUUGGCCAUUGAAAUCUAUCUUUUAAUAAUGAUGAUAAUAUUUUUUUUCCGAGGAAGAAUAUCAAUGAUAAUGAUUGGAUAAAAAAUAAUAUCAAUCAACGAUAUAAUUUAUUCCAUAAUUCAUGUAUUUUGAAAGUCACCACAUAGUGAUCUAUAUUUUUGAAAUAUAACAGUCAUAUUUCGAUCAAAUUCUUCAUAACAUUAUUAUUAUUUUUUAAAUAUUAACUUUACUUUGUAUAUAAAAUAAAAUCCUUUAACAUGUUCAUGUUGGAUAUUGGGAAUUCAUUCUCCUUACACAGAUAUAUUCUUUGUAUUUUUAUGCAUCAUUCAUUAGUACAUAAAAUACUUGAUUUUAUACUAUAUUUACAGAGGAUCAUGAAAGUCCCUUCCAAGUGAUGUAAAUAAUUUUAAUUUUAUUGAUUAUUCAAAUCAAAUAUAAAAUAUUUGCUUUUAUGACUUAGGAAAAAUGUCAUGCUGAAAGAAUAAAGUUAAAAUAAGGAAAAAUGUCAUGAUUUUAUGACUUAGUUUUAGACUUUAUAAAAAAUAAAAUGUUAGUUUUGGACAAAACUUUAUAUUUCUUGAAUCCCAAGUUUUUUUUUUUUUUUUUUUUACAGAACUUGAAUCCCAAGUUUCACUUUCUUUAUAUAAUAUAUUCCUUUUCACCGAUCCCUUUCAACUUUGUUUGAUAUUUAACGAUCAUAUGAUCAAUACUUUGGUACCUCUCAAGGUAAAUUACUCUAAUUGGAAAAUCACAAUGAGAUUUAAUUAGGCUUUUAUUUUUUAUUUUAACUUGAAUUAUUGCUCUCUGUUAUGAACCGAAGUUAAUUACUGUUUUGAAGAAGACACGAUUAAGUUAAUUACUUUUUUUUUUUUUUUUUUUUUUUUUUUUUUUUUUUUUUUUUUGCUUUGCUCACAAGAACAUUAUUGUUAGGUCCAUUGCACAGAAAACAACUUUUACUUUCUUGGAAAAAAAUCAUUGCAUAUAUUUUCCAUAUAUAAACAUAUUUAGUUUUCAUGUGUUCAACCUAAGAAAGUAUUCAACCUAAAACGUAUGCAACAUAAUUGGUAGCAUGUUAAUUUACCAUUUUGUUUGAUGUAGGUUUAAUCUUCACCUGUAGAACUUCAAACUCAAAGUGUGAUAAUUCUCAAAUGGGUCUUAGAGUUCAUCUUCUUGUUCUUAUUUUGGUCUCUUUCUCAUUAAGAUGUGAAUCAUGGGGUUGGUAUUCAUCAAAUAAGAAGAAUCACUCUAAUGAUAGGUCUUAUGGAAACCAAGGAAGUUUUAGAGGUUCGAGUGCAGAGUUCUCGAUAGAGGCUUUCAAUGAUCCAAAGGGAAUGAAGCUAAUAGAGAAUGCUAAGAACAAAAUGGUUGGAUCAAAUACUUGUUGGCAAAAUGCUUAUCAACAUCUUUUUGCUGGAUGUUCUGAAAUUUUGGCUGCUGAUGAGAAAAGGUCGAGAUUGGCUUGGCAUCUAAGUGAUUGCUUUCAAAGGGAUUCUGGAAGGGUUUCCUUUCCUCGCUGUGACGCAGAAACAUCAAUUGCAACAUGCCUAAGAAACUUAGACGAUCUUGCUCAUAAGGUUUACCUUGAAUUCUACCUCGAAACAAACUCCAUUUGUUAUCAAUUACAGUUAAGUGCAUUUGCUUUUUACCAAACUAUUUGUCAAUUCUUUAUUUGAAUUUUUUUUUUUAUGUUUUUGUUGCACUAUGCAAGAAAAAAAAAUAGUGAACGAAAAAUGCUUAGUGAUAUAUAACUCAUUUGUUAUCAAUUACAGGACACAUGCAUUCAAGCAUGAAACUGAGAGACUUGUGACUGAAUUGAAAAGUUCGGCUCAGUAUGUCGAGGAGAAGCUAGAUAACAUUGAAGAAAAAUCAGAUAAUUUGUUACAAGGCUCAAAACAGAUUUUUGAUUCUCUUGAAUCGGUUAAUAGUCACACACAACUAGUUGCUCAAACUGUUAAGAAUGUUGAAACUCAUAUUGAUGUGGUAUUAAGGCACUCUGAAAGUGUUUACGAACAAACGACAAAAAUUGCAGCAUCGCAGUCACAACUUGAAGAAGGUCAAGAAGACAUGAAGAUGAAGUUAGAGGAUGGUGUAGCAUUGCUCAAAGAAUCUUAUAGUUAUUUGGGAAAAGAAAUAGAAAAGUUAAGAGAGGAAGCCAUUGAGAUUGAGAAUGAAGUUAUCAAAGUUGGAGAUACUAUGUCAUCAAAGAUGAACACUCUACAAACCAAAGCGGAAGAUAUUGGAAAUAUUGCAAGGGUUUCCUUAGAAAAACAACAUGAACUUUUAGAUGGGCAAUCCACAGCACUCAAGGGACUAAAUUCAUUGAACGAGGUUCAAUUCAAAGCAUUAGAGGAAAGCAGGUAAGAUUUAUCAAAUUUUAUAAAUUUGUAUUCAUAAAUCAUAUUAUGCAAAGUGCUAACCUCAUAAUUGGUGAGAUGUAGGAAAAGCCUACAAUAUUUUUCUGAAUAUGGACAUAAGCAACAAGAAGAGCUUUUAAGACGUCAAGAGCAGAUGCAAGGACUUCACGAUCGGUUAAUGGAAAAUUCAAAAACAAUAUUAUCUGCUCAGGUUUGCAACUAUAGUUUCCGAGUGUUAAAUCCUUAUAAACAUGCAUCCUUAAUAUUUUUUUCUUUUGAUUCAGAAGAUCUACUAAUAGUUUAUCUCUACCUAUACUUUAUAGGAAACUUUUGAGGCAAAACAGGCUACCAUGUUUGUUGCUUUGGAUAAAAUCUUUGCUUUGCAAAAUGCCAUGUUGAUUGAAUCAAGAGUGAUUAAAGCUUUCUUCAUUUAUGCGAUAUCAAUCUUUGUCAUCUUCAUGUUGACUAGCACGAAGCAAACCUACAAUGUUCAACCCUUACUUUAUAUUGGUAAGUAUCCCAUCACGGAGUUUGUCUCCUAAAGUGAGAAAAUUAAUGGUUGAUAUUGUAAUCAUCCAUGAUUUGUUAUAGAUGUACUUAU
This 41916-nucleotide long non-coding RNA is filed under the name Medicago truncatula (barrel medic). Its description in RNAcentral is "long non-coding RNA (MTRU_LNC008591)". Lineage: Eukaryota; Viridiplantae; Streptophyta; Magnoliopsida; Fabales; Fabaceae. The record is from RNAcentral.